This 485-nucleotide ribosomal RNA is filed under the name uncultured bacterium. Its description in RNAcentral is "bacterial SSU rRNA". It matches the Rfam family "Bacterial small subunit ribosomal RNA", at positions 28 to 525 of the family's 1533-position model. The record is from RNAcentral.
GAUGAACGCUGACAGAAUGCUUAACACAUGCAAGUCAACUUGAAUUUGGGUUUUUAACUUAGAUUUGGGUGGCGGACGGGUGAGUAACGCGUAAAGAACUUGCCUCACAGUUAGGGACAACAUUUAGAAAUGAAUGCUAAUACCUGAUAUUAUGGUUAUAGGGCAUCCUAUAAUUAUGAAAGCUAUAAGCACUGUGAGAGAGCUUUGCGUCCCAUUAGCUAGUUGGAGAGGUAACAGCUCACCAAGGCGAUGAUGGGUAGCCGGCCUGAGAGGGUGAACGGCCACAAGGGGACUGAGACACGGCCCUUACUCCUACGGGAGGCAGCAGUGGGGAAUAUUGGACAAUGGACCGAGAGUCUGAUCCAGCAAUUCUGUGUGCACGAUGAAGUUUUUCGGAAUGUAAAGUGCUUUCAGUUGGGAAGAAAAAAUGACGGUACCAACAGAAGAAGUGACGGCUAAAUACGUGCCAGCAGCCGCGGUAAGGA